RNAcentral lists this ribosomal RNA (459 nucleotides) under uncultured bacterium. Its description in RNAcentral is "partial 16S ribosomal RNA". It matches the Rfam family "Bacterial small subunit ribosomal RNA", at positions 338 to 795 of the family's 1533-position model. The record is from RNAcentral.
CCUACGGGCGGCAGCAGUGAGGAAUAUUGGUCAAUGGGCGGGAGCCUGAACCAGCCAAGUCGCGUGAGGGACGACGGUCCUAUGGAUUGUAAACUUCUUUUGUCGGGGAACAAAGGCGUCCACGGGUGGGCGGAUGAGUGUACCCGAAGAAAAAGCAUCGGCUAACUCCGUGCCAGCAGCCGCGGUAAUACGGGGGAUGCGAGCGUUAUCCGGAUUUAUUGGGUUUAAGGGGUGCGUAGGCGGACAGUCAAGUCAGCGGGAAAAGUGCGGUGCUAAACGCCGUAAAGCCGUUGAAACUGGCAGUCUUGAGUGGGCGAGAGGUAUGCGGAAUGCGUGGUGUAGCGGUGAAAGGCAUAGAUAUCACGAAGAACUCCGAUUGCGAAGGCAGCAUACCGGCGCCCUACUGACGCUGAGGCACGAAAGCGUGGGUAUCGAACAGGAUUAGAUACCCCUGUAGUC